Molecule: ribosomal RNA, 465 nt
Filed under: uncultured bacterium
Lineage: Bacteria
Description: partial 16S ribosomal RNA
Rfam family: Bacterial small subunit ribosomal RNA
Source: RNAcentral
GACGAACGCUGGCGGCGUGCUUAACACAUGCAAGUCGAACGGUAAGGCCCCUUCGGGGGUCCACGAGUGGCGAACGGGUGAGUAACACGUGAGCAACCUGCCCUUGACUCUGGAAUAACAGUUGGAAACAGCUGCUAAUACUGGAUAUUCAUCGUCUCCUUCCUGGGGGGUGGUGGAAAGCUCCGGCGGUCAGGGAUGGGCUCGCGGCCUAUCAGCUUGUUGGUGAGGUAAUGGCUCACCAAGGCUUCGACGGGUAGCCGGCCUGAGAGGGCGACCGGCCACACUAGGACUGAGAUACGGCCCAGACUCCUACGGGAGGCAGCAGUGGGGAAUAUUGCACAAUGGGCGCAAGCCUGAUGCAGCAACGCCGCGUGCGGGAUGACGGCCUUCGGGUUGUAAACCGCUUUCAGUAGGGACGAAGGGUGACUGACGGUACCUACAGAAGAAGGACCGGCUAACUACGUG